This 407-nucleotide ribosomal RNA is filed under the name uncultured bacterium. Its description in RNAcentral is "partial 16S ribosomal RNA". It matches the Rfam family "Bacterial small subunit ribosomal RNA", at positions 360 to 774 of the family's 1533-position model. The record is from RNAcentral.
AAUAUUGCGCAAUGGAGGAAACUCUGACGCAGCGACGCCGCGUGAGCGAUGAAGGUCUUCGGAUCGUAAAGCUCUGUCCUUGGGGAAGAAGAUCGAAAGAUUUGACGGUACCCGAGGAGGAAGCCCCGGCUAACUACGUGCCAGCAGCCGCGGUAAUACGUAGGGGGCAAGCGUUGUCCGGAAUUAUUGGGCGUAAAGGGUGCGUAGGCGGCUUUUUAAGUCAGAUGUGAAAGACCACGGCUUAACCGUGGGGUUGCAUUUGAAACUGGUCAUCUUGAGUGUAGAAGAGGAGAGUGGAAUUCCUAGUGUAGCGGUGAAAUGCGUAGAUAUUAGGAGGAACACCAGUGGCGAAGGCGACUCUCUGGUCUAUAACUGACGCUGAGGUGCGAAAGCGUGGGGAGCAAACA